GACAAGGCUGCGUUUUCCAUCAACCUUGCUGCCCGACCUGAGAUGACUGUUAGGGCUUUUCUGUAUUUUAAAAGCAACUGGAAGAUCAGCCCGACCUCUGGUGCUCAACUCAAGAAACCUGAGUUGACUGACCAAUUGAUUGCAGAGCCGCAGAAGGAAAAUGGUGACAAGAGGGGAAGUGGUUGACACGGCAGAAUUGCAGUCAAGGGGAGAUCUUGUCAAGAUGGCGGUGUGAGCAGACGUUGAACUUGCCUCCUGCCAUGAACACAACCAAAUUACAACAAUUUUUGAAAAAAUUACCACGGAUUGAAAACUGAAAACUGGAUAAAAAGAACCCUCACCACAAGGGACAGUCCUAAUGAAGUCAGAAGAGGCAGCAAUUCCUGCUGGAGAGGAAAAAAGCCACCUUUGGGGCCAGUGGAGCUUCUCAGCUGGCCAGGCGGGAGCCGCCCUAAGCUUGAAGAUCUUUCAGAAUUAGGUGGAAAGUGAGAACAAUGAAGUAAGAUGAUGGACCCCUGAGAAGAUUUCUUUUUUAAACAAAGGAGCUUUGGAAAACCUAAGGUGGAGGUAGAUAAGGAAAGUUUGGGGGAUGUGUGCAUGCAUUGCUGUGUGAAUAAAGCUAAGUUGCC
This 629-nucleotide long non-coding RNA is filed under the name Equus asinus (donkey). Its description in RNAcentral is "lncRNA (ENSEASG00005023569.1)". Lineage: Eukaryota; Metazoa; Chordata; Mammalia; Perissodactyla; Equidae. The record is from RNAcentral.